This 461-nucleotide ribosomal RNA is filed under the name uncultured Chloroflexota bacterium. RNAcentral describes it as "bacterial SSU rRNA". It matches the Rfam family "Bacterial small subunit ribosomal RNA", at positions 916 to 1381 of the family's 1533-position model. The record is from RNAcentral. Lineage: Bacteria; Bacillati; Chloroflexota.
GACGGGGCCCGCACAAGCAGCGGAGCGUGUGGUUUAAUUCGAUGCAACGCGAAGAACCUUUACCAAGGCUUGACAUGCCAGAAGUAGGAACUCGAAAGAGAGACCACCUGUAUCCAGUCAGGAACUGGCACAGGUGCUGCAUGGCUGUCGUCAGCUCGUGCCGUGAGGUGUUAGGUUAAGUCCCUGCAACGAGCGCAACCCUCGUCGCUAGUUAAAUUUUUCUAGCGAUACUGCCCGUAAAACGAGGAGGAAGGUGGGGAUGACGUCAAGUCAGCAUGGCCCUUACGCCUUGGGCUACACACACGCUACAAUGGGUGAUACAACGGGUUGCGAGAGAGCGAUCUGGAGCUAAUCCCUAAAAUCAUCCUCAGUUCGGAUUGCAGGCUGAAACUGCCUGCAUGAAGUUGGAGUUGCUAGUAACCGCAGGUCAGCACACUGCGGUGAAUACGUUCUCGGGCCUU